GACGAACGCUGGCGGCGUGCUUAACACAUGCAAGUCGAACGGAAAGGCCUGCUUUCCCUUGUGGAUUGCGGGUACUCGAGUGGCGAACGGGUGAGUAACACGUGAGUGAUCUGCCCCCAACUUGGGUAUAAGCCUGGGAAACUGGGUCUAAUUCCCGAUAGGACUGCAGGGUGGUGCCUGUGGUGGAAAACGAUCUUCUAGUGGUUGGGGAUGAGCUCGCGGCCUAUCAGCUUGUUGGUGGGGUAAUGGCCUACCAAGGCGGCGACGGGUAGCCGGCCUGAGAGGGUGGACGGCCACAUUGGGACUGAGAUACGGCCCAGACUCCUACGGGCGGCAGCAGUGGGGAAUAUUGCACAAUGGGCGGAAGCCUGAUGCAGCGACGCCGCGUGGGGGAUGACGGCCUUCGGGUUGUAAACUCCUUUCGACCGCGAGGAAGCCACCUGGUUGGAAGGGUGGUGACGGUAGUGGUAGAAGAAGCACCGGCUAACUACGUG
Molecule: ribosomal RNA, 494 nt
Filed under: uncultured bacterium
Lineage: Bacteria
Description: partial 16S ribosomal RNA
Rfam family: Bacterial small subunit ribosomal RNA
Source: RNAcentral